Molecule: long non-coding RNA, 1661 nt
Filed under: Olea europaea subsp. europaea
Lineage: Eukaryota; Viridiplantae; Streptophyta; Magnoliopsida; Lamiales; Oleaceae
Source: RNAcentral
CUUAUCAGUUAUCUCUCGGUUUCCUACUUGCCUUCUUCAUUUUUGAUUUUUUUCCUUUGAUUGAUUCAUUGUUUCCUUCUCAAGCCAAAGAUUAUUGAGCAAAUCAUACAUAAAUAAAUAUAUUAUUUAUUUAUACUAUAUAAGAUUCAAAUUACAAACCAAUGAAACCAUAGAAGAAGAAAAAUCUGCGGCUCAAAUUAAUCAGUCAAUCUUUAGAAAAAAUCAAAAUUUCUCGUUUCUCCAAAGUCGAUCGGCCUUCAACAUUUGAAGAUUGUUGAAGAUAAUCCGGUAAUUUUGUAUUUUUUGCAUAAUACCUCAUUAUUGGUUGAUUGCAAUUUGUACCCCUUUUUGUUUAUAAUUUUUUCGAUCUUUCACUGCCUAGGCUGGGAGUUAAAUUAUCGGUUAUUGGAUCUUCAGUUGCUAGAUUAAAGGUGCGAGUUUUUCAUUUUUGUUUUCAUUUUGAUUGCGUAGUUGUUGAUUUGCUUGGGUCUCUUCAAUUAUUUUGGGUUUACAUUAAUUGUAAAAUGUUUUCUGAUUAUGAAAAUUAGUUUGGUCCAAAUGCUAGAAGCCAUAUUGAUUACCAUUAUGUUUCAUCAGCAAGUGGUGAUACUGAUACAGAUUGUGGAACAAAAGCACAAGGAGUUGUGGCACGUCUUCUGGGAAUGGAUUCAUUGCCAACUUCAAACGUUUUUUUUUUUUUUACCCCUAUUCUACUCCGUUUAUAGGGUCUCACUCUUUCAGAGAUUCUCGUUACUUGGGAACCCCCGUGUUUUAGAAUGAACAUGAUAUUGUAAUCUUUGAAAGAGUGAACAUGAACCCGUGUCUUCUAGCAUUCGGACCAGUUGUAGCUCGUGAUGUGGCAACAGAAAUUCAUGAUGGCUGUUAUCUAAAAAUUUAUCAUGUAUUUCCUGCUGCCUGUGUGAUUUUGAAUUUUUUUCCCCAAAUAAUGAAUUUCAAAUUAAUAUAGCUUUUACCCCGUUUGUCAAUAGACAAUAGGUUACUGAAGAAGUCUUGGAUGGUAAGAUCCGUAUGUUCUACACUUCAUCCAAAACCACUAGGUUUCUCAAACAAUUUGUUUUAAGAUUGGAUCUGCUAAGUCUGCUAGGACCCAAAACCUUUUUCAAUUUGUUUAAUAAGUUGGAUGUAAACAGACUGGAUAGCACUAGAAAAAUUACUGAACAAUUUGUCAAUUUUGUUGUUCAUUCUAUGCUUCUAGGAAUUAAACAUACCCAAUAACCACUCUUAGAUGUUUGUUCAUUUAUUCAAGAUACGAUGUGAUCAAUCAUGUAAAAUAAAGUCCAGACAAAAUCCCAUAGUAAAGUAGGGUACCUAAUUUCGUGUUACACGUUUUCUCCAAUCCGUCAUGUUGUGAGCAUUUAAUUUACCUUGACUGAUCAUUUUAAUUUAUCUCCAAUUUGUCGCGUUUUCUCCAAUCUAUCAUGUGAGCAUUUAAUGAUCUAUUAUGAAGUUCUCAACACAUAAUUGUCGAGCGUUUGCAAUGUCAAACCCUUAUCAUGAGCAACUCUGACCUUUAAAUACCAUCCCCCCCGUAAACAAACCCUUCCAAUAGUUCUCUCCUCCUUUCUCUUCUCUUAUAGGAUUUGAAAAUCCGGUGGUGCAUACUACAAGGGGAAUGCCUUCUCUCAACUUCAUGACCUGGG